This is a non-coding RNA of Ditylenchus destructor, 73 nucleotides long. Lineage: Eukaryota; Metazoa; Nematoda; Chromadorea; Rhabditida; Anguinidae. The record is from the annotation of a GenBank genome assembly.
GGUUCCGUGGUGUAGUGGUUAUCACAUCUGUCUAACACACAGAAGGUCCCCGGAUCGAUUCCGGGCGGAAUCA